GAGGGUAUAGCUCAGUGGUAGAGUGCGUGCCUAGCAUGCACAGAUCUGGGGUUCAAUCCCCAGUACUUCCA
This is a transfer RNA of Camelus ferus (Wild Bactrian camel), 71 nucleotides long. It matches the Rfam family "tRNA". Rfam says of the family: Transfer RNA (tRNA) molecules are approximately 80 nucleotides in length. Their secondary structure includes four short double-helical elements and three loops (D, anti-codon, and T loops). The record is from Rfam. Lineage: Eukaryota; Metazoa; Chordata; Mammalia; Artiodactyla; Camelidae.